UACGUAGGGUGCAAGCGUUAAUCGGAAUUACUGGGCGUAAAGCGUGCGCAGGCGGUUCGCUAAGACAGAUGUGAAAUCCCCGGGCUUAACCUGGGAACUGCAUUUGUGACUGGCGGGCUAGAGUAUGGCAGAGGGGGGGUAGAAUUCCACGUGUAGCAGUGAAAUGACGUAGAGAUGUGGAGGAAUACCGAUGGCGAAGGCAGCCCCCUGGGCCCAAUACUGACGCU
Molecule: ribosomal RNA, 227 nt
Filed under: uncultured bacterium
Lineage: Bacteria
Description: partial 16S ribosomal RNA
Rfam family: Bacterial small subunit ribosomal RNA
Source: RNAcentral